CUGGCUAUAUAGAUCUGUAACCAUAUCAAUAUGAAAAUAUCUCAAUAUGAAAAUAUCACAAUACAACAAAGUUUAUAAAUAUCACAAAAACACAAGUACACGACCACCCUCACUAAAAGCAUAUUCUGAACUGUGGAGAAGGCCUUCCACACUGUUGUAGCCGAGAUCUACUGGAUAAUCAGCAAGAAGCCCCUGUCUUCGGAGGAGUCUGGUUUGGGGUCCAGUAACCUCAGAGAGGGACAAUCCAUUCAAGU
This 254-nucleotide long non-coding RNA is filed under the name Zea mays. Its description in RNAcentral is "long non-coding RNA NONZMAT004566". The record is from RNAcentral. Lineage: Eukaryota; Viridiplantae; Streptophyta; Magnoliopsida; Poales; Poaceae.